Molecule: ribosomal RNA, 121 nt
Filed under: Harpegnathos saltator (Jerdon's jumping ant)
Lineage: Eukaryota; Metazoa; Arthropoda; Insecta; Hymenoptera; Formicidae
Source: RNAcentral
GUUAACUGUCAUAUCAUGUUGAAAAUACCAGUUCUCGUCCGAUCACUGCAGUCAAGCAACAUUGAGCACGGUUAGUGCUUUGAUGGGUGACUACUUGGGAAAACCGUGUAUACUGUUGGCA